This 512-nucleotide ribosomal RNA is filed under the name Thecagaster pekinensis. RNAcentral describes it as "partial 16S rRNA". It matches the Rfam family "Bacterial large subunit ribosomal RNA", at positions 1819 to 2597 of the family's 2925-position model. The record is from RNAcentral. Lineage: Eukaryota; Metazoa; Arthropoda; Insecta; Odonata; Cordulegastridae.
GUCUUCUUGAUAAAAUAGGAAGUCUGACCUGCCCAGUGAAAAUAUUUUAACGGCCGCGGUAUAUUGACCGUGCAAAGGUAGCAUAAUCAUUAGUCUUUUAAUAGGGGGCUGGAAUGAAGGGUUUAACGAAGUACUUACUGUCUCAUUUAAUUUGAUAUUAAAAUUUACUUUUUCAGUCAAAAAGCUGAAAUAUUAUUGGAAGACGAGAAGACCCUAUAGAGCUUUAUAUUUAAUUAUUUAAUAAAUUUUUGAUAAAAUUAUUAUUUAUUAUUUAAUAAAAUAUUUUGUUGGGGUGACAAAAAUAUAUAAUUAACUUUUUUAUUUAUAUAACAUUGAUAUAUGAAAAAUAGAUCCAGUUUUACUGAUUAUUAGAAUAAGUUACCUUAGGGAUAACAGCGUAAUCUUCCUUUAGAGUUCAUAUUCACAGGGAGGCUUGCGACCUCGAUGUUGGAUUAAGAUUAUAAUUAGGUGUAGCCGCUUAAAAAAUAGGUCUGUUCGACCUUUAAAUUCUU